Molecule: long non-coding RNA, 983 nt
Filed under: Homo sapiens (human)
Lineage: Eukaryota; Metazoa; Chordata; Mammalia; Primates; Hominidae
Description: non-protein coding lnc-GNAI1-6:1
Source: RNAcentral
CAACAACUCCCAGAGCUUCCAGACCCAAGAUACAUUUUGGAACCCCAGGACAAUCCUGAACUGGCACCCGCCCUGGUGUGUGCCCUUUGCUGCUGCUGCUUUGGAAUCAUCUCCUGCAGCUAUGGCCACCACUGCUUCAAGGCAGUGAUGUUUCUCUCAGGCCUGCUGUCUGGAGCUCUGGUGAUCUUCCUGCUCUUUCACAAGGAGCAGGUGCUGGAGAUACAGCUGAGAUUGGGGGUGAGCACGGGCAUCACACUGGGCAUUGGACUCUUCUGCAGCCUGGUCACCAUGUUGAUUUGCAGUGUUGGGCUCUUCCUGAUUAGUCUCCUUCUAGGUCUGAACCUGGAUGCUGGGACUCUGCUGGGCACUGAGUCCAUCUAACAACCACUUUCACUGGGUGCUGGCAGGGGGUGGUGGUGGGGCUGGAACUGCUGGGAGCCCUGCUUAUGCUUCAGUGGCCAUGUCCAUUCAUAGUUCUGGGCACAGCCCUGCUGGGUGCUACGGUGCUGGUGGCUUGUGCUGACUUCUUCCUGGAGGGUCUGGCACUGGGCAGUUGGCUGGGUCAAUGCUGGCAGGCACUUCCAGCCUUGCCUCCUUUCUGCUGGUAUAGCUAGAUUUUAUUGAACUCCUGGCCAGCCUUGGGGGCUUCUAGGGCCCUGGCCCAGUGGAAGCUCAUGGCUAAGGAACAUGGAGGCCAUGCUAAUGUGACCUUGAGCUACCAGCAAAGGGGUCUCCAACUCCUUUGGAUCUAUCAACAAGAGACCAAGUAGCACCAGACCGCCUCUGGGGUGGGGCUUUGUGAAAGUAGCUAUAGGUGUCAGCUCCCUGCCAACACCCAGAGCCCUGCUGACAGUCUGGCUCCAAGUUAUCUCCAGAGUCUUUGAGAGCACCAACUGGAACCAGUCCCUGAGGCCACAGUCCCCCACACUCAUCUGGACCUGGGUUCUGAUUGUGGUUCCACUGUUCCCCUCACAACACCCUCU